ACGCUGACAGAAUGCUUAACACAUGCAAGUCUACUUGAAUUUGGGUUUUUAACUUAGGUUUGGGUGGCGGACGGGUGAGUAACGCGUAAAGAACUUGCCUCACAGCUAGGGACAACAUUUAGAAAUGAAUGCUAAUACCUAAUAUUAUGAUAAUAGGGCAUCCUAUAAUUAUGAAAGCUAUAUGCGCUGUGAGAGAGCUUUGCGUCCCAUUAGCUAGUUGGAGAGGUAACAGCUCACCAAGGCGAUGAUGGGUAGCCGGCCUGAGAGGGUGAUCGGCCACAAGGGGACUGAGACACGGCCCUUACUCCUACGGGAGGCAGCAGUGGGGAAUAUUGGACAAUGGACCGAGAGUCUGAUCCAGCAAUUCUGUGUGCACGAUGAAGUUUUUCGGAAUGUAAAGUGCUUUCAGUUGGGAAGAAAGAAAUGACGGUACCAACAGAAGAAGUGACGGCUAAAUACGUGCCAGCAGCCGCGGUAAUACGUAUGUCACGAGCGUUAUCCGGAUUUAUUGGGCGUAAAGCGCGUCUAGGUGGUUAUAUAAGUCUGAUGUGAAAAUGCAGGGCUCAACUCUGUAUUGCGUUGGAAACUGUAUAACUAGAGUACUGGAGAGGUAAGCGGAACUACAAGUGUAGAGGUGAAAUUCGUAGAUAUUUGUAGGAAUGCCGAUGGGGAAGCCAGCUUACUGGACAGAUACUGACGCUGAAGCGCGAAAGCGUGGGUAGCAAACAGGAUUAGAUACCCUGGUAGUCCACGCUGUAAACGAUGAUUACUAGGUGUUGGGGGUCGAACCUCAGCGCCCAAGCAAACGCGAUAAGUAAUCCGCCUGGGGAGUACGUACGCAAGUAUGAAACUCAAAGGAAUUGACGGGGACCCGCACAAGCGGUGGAGCAUGUGGUUUAAUUCGACGCAA
This 910-nucleotide ribosomal RNA is filed under the name uncultured bacterium. RNAcentral's name for it is "bacterial SSU rRNA". It matches the Rfam family "Bacterial small subunit ribosomal RNA", at positions 33 to 959 of the family's 1533-position model. The record is from RNAcentral.